RNAcentral lists this ribosomal RNA (1597 nucleotides) under Cypseloides fumigatus (Sooty swift). RNAcentral's name for it is "16S ribosomal RNA". It matches the Rfam family "Bacterial large subunit ribosomal RNA". Lineage: Eukaryota; Metazoa; Chordata; Aves; Apodiformes; Apodidae. The record is from RNAcentral.
AGCCCAAUACCUAGCCCAACCUUCCACUAUAAACCCUAAACUAAAAAAUCCGCUUACAAAAACUAAAUUAAAACAUUCUAACAGCUUAGUAUAGGCGAUAGAAAAGCACCCACACUGGCGCGAUAGUAAUUCCGUACCGUAAGGGAAAGAUGAAAUAAUAAUGAAAAUUUAAGCAAGAAACAGCAAAGAUGAACCCUUGUACCUUUUGCAUCAUGGUUUAGCAAGAACAACCAAGCAAAAUGACCUUAAGCUUGCCCCCCCGAAACCCAAGCGAGCUACUCGCAAGCAGCUAUAUCUGAGCGCACCCGUCUCUGUUGCAAAAGAGUGGGAUGACUUGCUAGUAGAGGUGAAAAGCCAAUCGAGCUGGGUGAUAGCUGGUUGCCUGUGAAUUGAAUUUAAGUUCACUCUUAAUCCUUCUCCACGGUACCACCUAUCCUUCAUGUAGUAGAUCAAGAGUAAUUUAAUGGAGGUACAGCUCCUUUAAAAAAGAAUACAACCUCCACUAGCGGAUAACCACACAACAUUAUAUCCCAACCUGUGGGCCUUCAAGCAGCCACCAACAAAGAGUGCGUCAAAGCUCACCCCUAAAAAAAUCCAAAAACAACAUGAUUCCCUUAACAACAACAGGCUAACCUAUAAUAAUAGGAGAAUUUAUGCUAAAACGAGUAACCUAGGGAACCUCCCUCUCAGGCGUAAGCUUACAUUAUCCCAUUAUUAACAGAUAAUCAAAUACCUCAACUUCAACGAGACUGAGUAUUACAACCUACCCUGUUAACCCAACUCAGGAGCGCCCAUUAGAAAGAUUUAAAUCUGUAAAAGGAACUAGGCAAACACGAAGGCUCGACUGUUUACCAAAAACAUAGCCUUCAGCCGAACAAGUAUUGAAGGUGAUGCCUGCCCAGUGACAUCAUGUUUAACGGCCGCGGUAUCCUAACCGUGCAAAGGUAGCGCAAUCAAUUGUCUCAUAAAUCGAGACUUGUAUGAAUGGCUAAACGAAGCCUCAACUGUCUCCUACAGAUAAUCAGUGAAACUGAUCUUCCUGUGCAAAAGCAAGAAUAACUUCAUAAGACGAGAAGACCCUGUGGAACUUUAAAAUCAGCGACCAUCCUACUAAAAUAGAACCUACAAGGCCCAUCAACCCCGACAGACACUGGUCCGCAUUUUUUGGUUGGGGCGACCUUGGAGAAAAACAAAACCUCCAAAAAUAAGACCACACCUCUUAACCAAGAGCAACACCUCAAUGUACAAACAGUAUCCAGACCCAGUAUAACUGAACAAUGAACCAAGCUACCCCAGGGAUAACAGCGCAAUCUCCUUCAAGAGCCCAUAUCGACGAGGAGGUUUACGACCUCGAUGUUGGAUCAGGACAUCCUAAUGGUGCAGCCGCUAUUAAGGGCUCGUUUGUUCAACGAUUAACAGUCCUACGUGAUCUGAGUUCAGACCGGAGCAAUCCAGGUCGGUUUCUAUCUAUGACCAACUUUUCCUAGUACGAAAGGACCGGAAAAGUAAGGCCAAUGCUACAGGUACGCCUUUCCUUUAAGUAAUGAACGCAACUAAAUUACCAAGAGGUAACACAUUUAUGUCCUAGAUAAGGACC